GCCAUCCUCAUCUUGGGGUUGUGCUACUGUCCAAUGAACGUCUAGUGAGGAUAGUACUGCUAACGCCUAAAGAAAACAAAUCAAACAAAGGGGACAUCUGUAAUACUUUCAACA
Molecule: small nuclear RNA, 114 nt
Organism: Eptesicus fuscus (big brown bat)
Lineage: Eukaryota; Metazoa; Chordata; Mammalia; Chiroptera; Vespertilionidae
Product: U4atac minor spliceosomal RNA
Exons: 1
Source: RefSeq, a predicted model, not a curated record